GAUGAACGCUAGCGGCAGGCUUAACACAUGCAAGUCGAGGGGCAGCACGGGUAGCAAUACCUGGUGGCGACCGGCGCAAGGGUGCGUAACGCGUGAGCAACAUGCCCUAUACAGGGGGAUAAUCCAGGGAAACUUGGUCUAAUAUCCCAUAGUAUUUAGAGGAGGCAUCUUCUAUAAAUUAAAGCUUCGGUGGUAUAGGAUUGGCUCGCGUGACAUUAGCUAGAUGGUGAGGUAACGGCUCACCAUGGCAAUGAUGUCUAGGGGUUCUGAGAGGAAGGCCCCCCACACUGGGACUGAGACACGGCCCAGACUCCUACGGGAGGCAGCAGUGGGGAAUUUUGGACAAUGGGGGCAACCCUGAUCCAGCCAUGCCGCGUGAGUGAAGAAGGCCUUCGGUUGUAAGACUCUUCGGUCCGGGACGGAAUACGUAUGGUUAAGUAACCCUGUGCGGAUGACGGUACCGGCGACUAAGAAGCACCGGCUAACUACGUGCC
This 494-nucleotide ribosomal RNA is filed under the name uncultured bacterium. RNAcentral's name for it is "bacterial SSU rRNA". It matches the Rfam family "Bacterial small subunit ribosomal RNA", at positions 28 to 509 of the family's 1533-position model. The record is from RNAcentral.